CAUUAUAAUUGGUGAAUGAUGCACAGGCGCUCUUUAUUUCCAUCAAAGCCAGGACUCAAGGCCUGUUUUCCACUCGAAAAUCCCCAUCUCAAACUCCGAUUUCAAUGGAGGAGACAAGGAUCGUCAUGCAUCUACAAAGUUGACGUGGAUGUACAGAAAUUGUACAUGGGCACACUUGGGGUGUACGGAGGAAGAGGCCAUGUAUGCCGUGCGUAGGAACCAUUCGUGGGAGCUGUGGCGCUAGCAUACUCUAGAAGCUUCUAGGGUUUCUGGCAUUCCCAAUUUUUUUUGGCCGUUUGGGAUUAUUUUUGGGCUAUUUUAUGAAUUGGCUAUGUAUUAAGUGGGUGGUUUUGGUUUUAGUUUAAUUCAGGCCCGAGAUUUUGUAAAUGGGUUAGGUCUGGAUUAAUAAGUUUGGGUUUAAUUUAAUUUAGACCCGAAAUUUUGUAAAUGGACAUUGGACUCAUAAACAAUUUGGUUUAUUAUUUAUUUUUGUUUGAUA
Molecule: long non-coding RNA, 499 nt
Organism: Gossypium arboreum
Lineage: Eukaryota; Viridiplantae; Streptophyta; Magnoliopsida; Malvales; Malvaceae
Exons: 2
Source: RefSeq, a predicted model, not a curated record